This 253-nucleotide ribosomal RNA is filed under the name uncultured bacterium. RNAcentral describes it as "partial 16S ribosomal RNA". It matches the Rfam family "Bacterial small subunit ribosomal RNA", at positions 524 to 776 of the family's 1533-position model. The record is from RNAcentral.
UACGUAGGGUCCGAGCGUUGUCCGGAAUUAUUGGGCGUAAAGGGCUCGUAGGCGGUCUGUUGCGUCGGGAGUGAAAACUUACAGCUUAACUGUGAGCGUGCUUCCGAUACGGGCAGACUUGAGGUAUUCAGGGGAGAACGGAAUUCCUGGUGUAGCGGUGAAAUGCGCAGAUAUCAGGAGGAACACCGGUGGCGAAGGCAGGUCUCUGGGCUGACACUGACGCUCAUGCACGAAAGCGUGGGGAGCAAACAGG